Molecule: ribosomal RNA, 492 nt
Filed under: uncultured bacterium
Lineage: Bacteria
Description: partial 16S ribosomal RNA
Rfam family: Bacterial small subunit ribosomal RNA
Source: RNAcentral
AGUGAACGCUGGCGGUAGGCCUAACACAUGCAAGUCGAACGGCAGCACAGUAAGAGCUUGCUCUUACGGGUGGCGAGUGGCGGACGGGUGAGGAAUACAUCGGAAUCUACUUUUUCGUGGGGGAUAACGUAGGGAAACUUACGCUAAUACCGCAUACGACCUACGGGUGAAAGCAGGGGAUCUUCGGACCUUGCGCGAUUGAAUGAGCCGAUGUCGGAUUAGCUAGUUGGCGGGGUAAAGGCCCACCAAGGCGACGAUCCGUAGCUGGUCUGAGAGGAUGAUCAGCCAAACUGGAACUGGAGCAAGGGUCAGAAUCCUACGGGAGGGAGCAGGUGGGAAUUUUGGGCAAUUGGCGGAAGCCUGAUCCAGCCAUGCCGGGUGGGUGAAGAAGGGCUUCGGGGUGGAAAACCCCUUUUGUGGGGAAGAAAAAGCGGCGGUUUAAUACCCGGCUUUUUGAAGGUACCCAAAAAAAAAGCCACGGCUAACCUCGUU